RNAcentral lists this ribosomal RNA (380 nucleotides) under uncultured cyanobacterium. Its description in RNAcentral is "bacterial SSU rRNA". It matches the Rfam family "Bacterial small subunit ribosomal RNA", at positions 376 to 770 of the family's 1533-position model. The record is from RNAcentral. Lineage: Bacteria; Bacillati; Cyanobacteriota.
CGCAAGCCUGACGGAGCAAGACCGCGUGGGGGAGGAAAGCCUUUGGGUUGUAAACCCCUUUUCUCAGGGAAGAAGAAAGUGACGGUACCUGAGGAAUCAGCCUCGGCUAACUCCGUGCCAGCAGCCGCGGUAAUACGGAGGAGGCAAGCGUUAUCCGGAAUCAUUGGGCGUAAAGCGUCCGCAGGUGGUUUUUCAAGUCUGCUGUCAAAGACCAGAGCUCAACUCUGGGCCGGCAGUGGAAACUGGGAAACUAGAGUUCGGUAGGGGUAGCGGGAAUUCCCAGUGUAGCGGUGAAAUGCGUAGAUAUUGGGAAGAACAUCGGUGGCGAAGGCGCGCUACUGGACCGAAACUGACACUCAGGGACGAAAGCUAGGGGAGCG